Molecule: non-coding RNA, 117 nt
Organism: Nomascus leucogenys (northern white-cheeked gibbon)
Lineage: Eukaryota; Metazoa; Chordata; Mammalia; Primates; Hylobatidae
Rfam family: Metazoan signal recognition particle RNA
About the family: The signal recognition particle (SRP) is a universally conserved ribonucleoprotein. It is involved in the co-translational targeting of proteins to membranes.
Source: Rfam
GCCGGGCGCGGUGGCUCACGCCUGUAAUCCCAGCACUUUGGGAGGCUGAGGCGGGUGGAUCACCUGAGGUCAGGAGUUUGAGACCAGCCUGGCCAACAUGGAGAAACCCUGCCUCUA